AGAGGAAGAUAGGAGGGGAAAAGAGAAGAGACUAAGAUGUGGGUCCAUUCAUAAAAGGGUAAAAUAAACUAUUCACAAUAAGUCCUCAUAUUUCUGAGCUGGAGCAAUGCAAUCAACUAAACACAUACAACAACUCCAUAUUUUUCUGAAGUUAAUGGAGUGGAGCUGCAAUUUUAUGAAGUCGGUGGAGUGGAGCUAUUUUUUAUAGAGUGGAGUGUUAUCAAACACCCCCUUAAUCACGUUUGACUCGGGGGGUUGAUGCCUUCUUCAACUUGUACCGCAUUGGAAGCGAUCUCGCACGUGAGCCG
RNAcentral lists this long non-coding RNA (308 nucleotides) under Setaria italica (foxtail millet). RNAcentral describes it as "long non-coding RNA (SITA_LNC007277)". Lineage: Eukaryota; Viridiplantae; Streptophyta; Magnoliopsida; Poales; Poaceae. The record is from RNAcentral.